Polypterus senegalus (gray bichir) is the source of this 305-nucleotide long non-coding RNA. RefSeq lists it as uncharacterized. The transcript has 3 exons. The record is from RefSeq and is a predicted model, not a curated record. NCBI's taxonomy places the organism in Eukaryota, Metazoa, Chordata, Cladistia, Polypteriformes, Polypteridae.
CUGAAGUGGCUGCAGUUCUAGGACUUCUCUGCUCUCCAUGCAAUGGGGUGUUAAAAUGUAAUAAAAGAUAUUCGUAAGCCAAAUGGAAACUUCCAAAGCUCACACUUGUUUCAAGGAAACCACUCACUUUUGCUUUUCACACUUCUUUGAGUUGAUCCAUGCUGGGGAACCAUCUGCCAAGACCGAUGGGUUUCUGUGACAGACAGCGUUUUAAUUGGGGGAAAGCUGUAUAACCCAGAGGAAAGCCAACACAGACACCAGAAAAAUGUGCAGACUUGACCGAAGCAGAGACAGGGCUGGGAUUC